AGCGAUUAGCAAUACAUAUAAGUAUCGGUAUCUUUUAUAACUACCGUCACUUUCAAAAAACAUCGUAAAAUUAGUUUUCGACGAUAGCAUAGCCGACGCUUUUACGAUAUUUUAGAAAGUAUCAGGAAUAAAACUACGAACGCUUUUUCGCAUUGGUAUAUAUCUUAAAAGAUGUCGGCAAUGGCUGAUUUUUUUGUAGUAUUUUGGCGGUACAAAAUUAUAUUUAUUGAUGGUUUAGAUUGGCUGAGUCGCUGUCGAGGGAGAAGAGAAUGUGGGCUUAGCGGACGGCAUGAACGCGAUGCUUCGUGAUAUUACGUGUAGUGCCCUCUUGUUGAGGUCAAGUGCUGCACCACCUAUAUUAGAAGCAAUCAAUUUCAAUCAAUGGGCUGCUUCCAUCGAUCGGUC
Molecule: long non-coding RNA, 405 nt
Filed under: Phoenix dactylifera (date palm)
Lineage: Eukaryota; Viridiplantae; Streptophyta; Magnoliopsida; Arecales; Arecaceae
Description: long non-coding RNA (PDAC_LNC001433)
Source: RNAcentral